UUUAAGUGCAACCAUAAAUUUUCGUACCUAAUUUUAAUAGUCCGUCUUAUUUGAAUUUUUUUUAUAAUUAGUAUUUUUGUUGUUAUGAGAUGAUAAAACAUGAAUAAUACUUUAUGUGUGACUUAUGUUUUUAUUUUUUGAAAAAAAUUAAAUAAGACGGACGAUCAAAGUUUAGCACGGAAAAACAUGGCUGCACUUAAA
This is a non-coding RNA of Oryza nivara, 201 nucleotides long. Lineage: Eukaryota; Viridiplantae; Streptophyta; Magnoliopsida; Poales; Poaceae. The record is from Rfam.